UCAUUAACGAAUAUAAUUCGAGGGGUUGUCGCUGGCCUCGCUCGCGCGAGGCAUGUGCACGCUUCUCGUUUUUCUCUCAACUCACCUGUGCACCUAAUGUAGGAUGCCUCUCCUCCGGGAGGGGGGACCUAUGUCUUCGUAACAUCUUCGUGUAGAAAGUCUUUGAAUGUUUACUAUCAUCGAGUCGCGACUUCUAGGAGACGCGAUUCUUUGAGAUAAAAGUUAUUACAACUUUCAGCAACGGAUCUCUUGGCUCUCGCAUCGAUGAAGAACGCAGCGAAAAGCGAUAUGUAAUGUGAAUUGCAGAUCUACAGUGAAUCAUCGAAUCUUUGAACGCACCUUGCGCUCCUCGGUGUUCCGAGGAGCAUGCCUGUUUGAGUGUCAGUAAAUUCUCAACCCCUCUCGAUUAGCUUYGAGAGGGWGCUUGGAUAGUGGAGGUUGCCGGAGACUUGGAUUCGUCCGAGACUCGGGCUCUUCUGAAAUGCAUCGGCUUGCGGUCGACUUUCGACUAUGYGCGACAAGGCUUUCGGCGUGAUAAUGAUCGCCGUUCGCUGAAGCGCAUGACUGAAYGUCCCGUGCCUCUAAUAYGUCGACCGCUUAUUAUCUCUCCGGAGAGAACAGGGUCUUCCUUAUUGACUUUUGACCUCAAAUCAGGUAGGACUACCCGCUGAACUUAAGCAUAUCAAUAAGCGGAGGAAAAGAAACUAACAAGGAUUCCCCUAGUAACUGCGAGUGAAGAGGGAAAAGCUCAAAUUUUGAAUCUGGCGGUCUUUAGGCC
RNAcentral lists this ribosomal RNA (778 nucleotides) under Rhizopogon salebrosus. Its description in RNAcentral is "eukaryotic LSU rRNA". The stretch from base 230 to 384 matches the Rfam family "5.8S ribosomal RNA". Lineage: Eukaryota; Fungi; Basidiomycota; Agaricomycetes; Boletales; Rhizopogonaceae. The record is from RNAcentral.